GUAACCAUCCUGGCUGCGAGUCUUUCGUUGUGAGGCAGGCAUGGAGAUGGAAGGGUCUUCUGUGGAGCAAACUGGCAGGAAACCACAAGGAAGCAACAGGUCUCUAUGUAAAGUACGAGUUGGUCCCUCUUUGUGUUCAGGUUGUACAGUGUAAACUGGUACAUUUUCAGCUCUGUCAACAACUUUGUACACCCCUGGUUCCCAUCUAUCUGCCAGCUUGUGCUUACCCCUCAGACGGAUGUUGCGAACCAGUACUCGAUCUCCUAUCUCCAAACUGCAUGGUGUAAUUUUCUGAUCAAAACGGGUCUUGUUCUUUGCAGCUGAUUUGAGGGCAUUCUCAGAAGCUAGUUUGUAGCUUUCUUUCAGGCUGGAUUGCAGAUUCUUAACAUACUCUGAAUGAGAGAUGGAUGAUUGUUCUCUGACGGGUAAACCAAAAGCCAAAUCCACAGGAAGACGAGGACAACGACCAAACAUGAGUUCAUAAGGGUUCCAAGCAUAUUGAGCAGAGUGCGGUUGAAGCGCUCGACUGGAUUCCCUCGGGGGUGGUACGGGGUAGUUCGGCUUUUCUUCAUGCCUACAACUGCACAGAGCUCUUUAAUGAGCUUGGACUCGAAAUCUGUACCCUGGUCUGAAUGUAUACGCUCUGGAAUUCCAUAAUAAACCAUAAAUUCAUUCCAGA
This is a long non-coding RNA of Xiphophorus hellerii (green swordtail), 679 nucleotides long. RefSeq lists it as uncharacterized. Lineage: Eukaryota; Metazoa; Chordata; Actinopteri; Cyprinodontiformes; Poeciliidae. The record is from RefSeq and is a predicted model, not a curated record. The transcript has 2 exons.